RNAcentral lists this ribosomal RNA (250 nucleotides) under uncultured prokaryote. Its description in RNAcentral is "partial 16S ribosomal RNA". It matches the Rfam family "Bacterial small subunit ribosomal RNA", at positions 524 to 773 of the family's 1533-position model. The record is from RNAcentral.
UACGUAGGUGGCAAGCGUUAUCCGGAUUUACUGGGUGUAAAGGGUGAGUAGGCGGGGAGACAAGUCAGAUGUGAAAUGCAAAGGCUUAACCUUUGAACUGCAUUUGAAACUGUUUUUCUUGAGAGUCGGAGAGGUAAUUGGAAUUCCCGGUGUAGCGGUGAAAUGCGUAGAGAUCGGGAGGAACACCAGUGGCGAAGGCGGAUUACUGGACGACCACUGACGCUGAUGCACGAAAGCGUGGGGAGCAAAC